Molecule: ribosomal RNA, 216 nt
Filed under: Glomeromycotina sp.
Lineage: Eukaryota; Fungi; Glomeromycota
Description: partial small subunit ribosomal RNA
Rfam family: Eukaryotic small subunit ribosomal RNA (bases 47-216)
Source: RNAcentral
GGGUCAGUAGGUUGGUCGUGCCACCGGUACGUACUGGUCUCACUGGUUCCUCCUUCCUGAAGAACCGUAAUGCCAUUAAUUUGGUGUUGCGGGGGAACAGGACUGUUACUUUGAAAAAAUUAGAGUGUUUAAAGCAAGCUAACGCUUGAAUACAUUAGCAUGGAAUAAUGAAAUAGGACGAUCGAUCCUAUUUUGUUGGUUUCUAGGAUUGACGUA